Molecule: long non-coding RNA, 1459 nt
Organism: Ochotona curzoniae (black-lipped pika)
Lineage: Eukaryota; Metazoa; Chordata; Mammalia; Lagomorpha; Ochotonidae
Exons: 3
Source: RefSeq, a predicted model, not a curated record
GCAGGAGGAGGGCCUGGAAACUCUAACCGCCCCCCCCCUUCUCCUCAGCCUAAACUGGCUGUCUUGGACGGAGAGAAGGUCACCUCCCCAGCCUGUCCGGCAGUGAGGCCCCUCGCCCAGGCCUGGCCCUGACCGCCUGGGAAGCCGGCUGGCUGGGUGGGGCGCCCCGUUAGUCAUCGCUGGGCUCCCUCCCGGCCAACUCCUGGCCCCUCCCCGUGGCCUCCGGCGAGGCUAUCCCCCCCCACCUCCUUCUGGACCCAGUUCCAACCUCCAACUCUUUUGGCCUGUCAUGCUGGCUGUCAGACUGGCCUAGGAGCUGUCAGGGUGCCAGGGGGUUGAUGGAGCAGCUGGUGAGAGGGGUCAGUGGCCUGGGCCCACCCCGCCCUGCAGCCAAGGGCACCUGCUUGGCACAAGAUGCCCAGCAGCCGUGGAGUCUUGCAGGCUGAACCAUGCUGUCCCAGACUAAGGGCACUUGGGCAGAGUUGGGCUAGUCAGCGAGGGGAAGGAAGAUAUCACAAAGUUUGGGCUUCCCAAAAGGCUUUUGGAAGUUGUGCCCCACCAAGCCCCCCAGACACACACACCCUAAUGGUUCUUACCCUCUGAGUGUACUGAGCCGGAGGCAGACCCUCCUGGGCCCUCUGAGUCUGGCCUGGGCCGUGCCCUUGGACAGUGUCAGCGCCCAGCCCUCGAGCCUGCCACGCCCCCAGCCCCCUCCCUGGGCCAUGCUGCAGGGCCCCGGCUUUUCCUGCUGAUUCAUGCGUUGGAACUGUGGGGGCGGGGCUUGGGACUUGGAACAAAGUUCAGACACGGAGGGGCCGGCAGACAGCCUGGAAUUCAUACCAGAUGUACCCGGAAUGUGCGAGCGGAAUGCCUGGCAUCCCAGAGUCCAGAGGAAGCUGCCCAACCACCCUACCCGGGCCUCCCUCCCUCCCUCCCCGCCAUCCUCUGCCCAGCCAUCCUCUGCCUCACAGCCCAGGACCCUUCCUUAGCUGAGCCGCUCCCAAAUUCUGACCUUCCUCCUCUCAUGCUUCCCAGGGGCUAGGCCCACCCCACCCCCAUCCUCAGCUGACUGCAUCCUGCUGAAUUCCCUGGAACAGCUCAGCUCAGCUCAGCUGAUCCUUGCACUCACCUUUCUGGAAGACCUGAGGAGCCGGUAUCUCUCCUGCCCACCUGGCUGAGCCGCAGUAGUUCUUCAGUGGCAAGCUUUAUGUCCUGACCCAGCUAAAGCUGCCAGUUGAAGAACUGUUGCCCUCUGCCCCUGGCUUCAAGGAGGAAGAGGAGGAGCAGCAGCUGCUUUCCUUGUCUUCUGGAAGGUUGGCCCGGAGUCUGAAUCUAGAGGGACGCAGCUUCUGUGAGCCCACCUAUCUCUGUCUCUUCACCUAUGGGAUGGGGCUCUGUCCUGAUGGGCAUGCAUGCUCUCCUGUUGCUGUGAGUGCAAACAAAACAGACUUUUUUUUUU